RNAcentral lists this transfer RNA (68 nucleotides) under Galiblatta cribrosa. RNAcentral's name for it is "tRNA-Ile". Lineage: Eukaryota; Metazoa; Arthropoda; Insecta; Blattodea; Blaberidae. The record is from RNAcentral.
GUAAAGUGCCUGAUUUAAAAAGGACUAUCAUGAUAGGAUAAAUAAUGUAGAAUAUACUACCUUUACUA